GGGUCUUUAAGAUUCAGAGACUAAGCGAAAGUGAUAAGUUAGCCACNUGGGGAGUACGUUCGCCAAGAAUGAAACUCAAAGGAAUUGACCGGGGGCCCGCACAAGCGGUGGAUUAUGUGGUUUAAUUCGAUGAUACGCGAGGAACCUUACCAAGGCUUAAAUGGGAAAUGACAGGUUUAGAAAUAGACUUUUCUUCGGACAUUUUUCCAAGGUGCUGCAUGGUUGUCGUCAGCUCGUGCCGUGAGGUGUUAGGUUAAGUCCUGCAACGAGCGCAACCCCCUGUCACUAGUUGCCAUCAUUAAGUUGGGGACUCUAGUGAGACUGCCUACGCAAGUAGAGAGGAAGGUGGGGAUGACGUCAAAUCAUCACGGCCCUUACGCCUUGGGCCACACACGUAAUACAAUGGCCAGUANCAGAGGGCAGCUACACAGCGAUGUGAUGCAAAUCUCGAAAGCUGGUCUCAGUUCGGAUUGGAGUCUGCAACUCGACUCUAUGAAGCUGGAAUCGCUAGUAAUCGCGCAUCAGCCAUGGCGCGGUGAAUACGUUCCCGGGCCUUGUACACACCGCCCGUCAAGNCCAUGGAAGUCUGGGGUACCUGAAGUCGGUGACCGUAAUAGGAGCUGCCUAGGGUAAAACAGGUAACUAGGGCUAAGUCGUAANCAAGGUACC
Molecule: ribosomal RNA, 669 nt
Filed under: uncultured bacterium
Lineage: Bacteria
Description: bacterial SSU rRNA
Rfam family: Bacterial small subunit ribosomal RNA
Source: RNAcentral